AGGGUUUGAUCCUGGCUCAGAUUGAACGCUGGCGGCAUGCCUAACACAUGCAAGUCGAACGGUAACAGAUAAGAUGAUCUCUUCGGAGUGAAUCUUUGCUGACGAGUGGCGGACGGGUGAGUAAUGCUUGGGAAUCUGCCCAAUAGUGGGGGAAAACUCGGGGAAACCCGGGCUAAUACCGCAUAAUCUCUACGGAGGAAAGAGGGCCUCUACAUGUAAGCUCUCGCUAAUGGAUGAGCCCAAGUCAGAUUAGCUAGUUGGUAAGGUAAUGGCUUACCAAGGCUACGAUCUGUAGCUGGUCUGAGAGGAUGAUCAGCCACACUGGGACUGAGACACGGCCCAGACUCCUACGGGAGGCAGCAGUGGGGAAUAUUGCACAAUGGGCGCAAGCCUGAUGCAGCAAUGCCGCGUGUGUGAAGAAGGCUCUAGGGUUGUAAAGCACUUUCAAUAGAGAAGAAAAGCUUGAAAUUAAUAAUUUCAAGCCUUGACGUAAUCUAUACAAGAAGCACCGGCUAAUUCCGUGCCAGCAGCCGCGGUAAUACGGGAGGUGCGAGCGUUAAUCGGAAUUACUGGGCGUAAAGCGAGCGUAGGCUGUUAAUUAAGUCGAAUGUGAAAUCCCCGGGCUCAACCUGGGAACUGCAUUCGAAACUAUUUAACUAGAGUAUGGGAGAGGAAAGUAGAAUUUCCGGUGUAGCG
RNAcentral lists this ribosomal RNA (696 nucleotides) under uncultured bacterium. RNAcentral describes it as "bacterial SSU rRNA". It matches the Rfam family "Bacterial small subunit ribosomal RNA", at positions 8 to 680 of the family's 1533-position model. The record is from RNAcentral.